Molecule: ribosomal RNA, 582 nt
Filed under: uncultured bacterium
Lineage: Bacteria
Description: partial 16S ribosomal RNA
Rfam family: Bacterial small subunit ribosomal RNA
Source: RNAcentral
UGGGGAAUUUUGGACAAUGGGCGAAAGCCUGAUCCAGCAAUGCCGCGUGUGUGAAGAAGGCCUUCGGGUUGUAAAGCACUUUUGUCCGGAAAGAAAUCCUUGGCUCUAAUACAGUCGGGGGAUGACGGUACCGGAAGAAUAAGCACCGGCUAACUACGUGCCAGCAGCCGCGGUAAUACGUAGGGUGCAAGCGUUAAUCGGAAUUACUGGGCGUAAAGCGUGCGCAGGCGGUUUGCUAAGACCGAUGUGAAAUCCCCGGGGCUCAACCUGGGAACUGCAUUGGUGACUGGGCAGGCUAGAGUAUGGCAGAGGGGGGUAGAAUUCCACGUGUAGCAGUGAAAUGCGUAGAGAUGUGGAGGAAUACCGAUGGCGAAGGCAGCCCCCUGGGCCAAUACUGACGCUCAUGCACGAAAGCGUGGGGGAGCAAAACAGGAUUAGAUACCCUGGUAGUCCACGCCCUAAACGAUGUCAACUAGUUGUUGGGGAUUCAUUUCCUUAGUAACUAGCUAACGCGUGAAGUUGACCGCCUGGGGAGUACGGUCGCAAGAUUAAAACUUAAAUGAAUUGACGGGGUCAUAGCUG